RNAcentral lists this transfer RNA (72 nucleotides) under Metschnikowia agaves. Its description in RNAcentral is "tRNA-Ala". It matches the Rfam family "tRNA". From Rfam's summary of the family: Transfer RNA (tRNA) molecules are approximately 80 nucleotides in length. Their secondary structure includes four short double-helical elements and three loops (D, anti-codon, and T loops). Lineage: Eukaryota; Fungi; Ascomycota; Pichiomycetes; Serinales; Metschnikowiaceae. The record is from RNAcentral.
GGGGUUAUAGAUCAAUAGGUAGAUUAUUCGCUUUGCAUGCGAUUGAUAUCGGUUCAAAUCCGAUUAAUUCCA